GGCGGGUUCCGCGGGCAGGUUGUGCGGGACCUGCCGGAGUUUGCGGGGGCGGGAGCGUCCUGGACUCCGCGUCCCCGGGCACCCCGCGCGCUGACCCGCAGGGGCUGGCAAGUGUCUGGUCCCGGCGCUGCCGGCGCUCAGGCUGCGCCCUGAGCCCGCAGGAAGCGGGCGUGUGCUGAGCGUCUGUGACCCUCGCGGCGGAAUAAACAGGAAGCGACGAGCACCCAGCCGGGCCACCCUGCUUUUGUUGUGCGGGCUGCGGGGCGCAGCGCGGAGGACGCUUCCUGGGACCCCAGCCGGCCGCCCCGGGGCCGGGCGCGCCCUAGAAGCCAGGUUACCUGGACGUGGGUCCCAUCCUCCUGACCUCUGGCCGAGCUUUCAUUCUGGUGUGAGAUAACAUCUCGAGUCUUGUUGCCUUGGAUUUAAAAUCCUUAAGGACGUGACAAGUAAGUGUUAGUGUAUCAGUGAAAAAACCCGAAGGAGACAAAUUCCAGUCAGUGGCAAGUGACACAGGCGUCCACUUCCACCACUGGCUUUCAGCCUGCGAGGUGUGUCCCCACACAGCGUUGCCCGCGGGCGAGGUCAGGGUCUCCCCACGGCCAGAGGACACAAUGCAGCCCCGCCCCGGCCAGCGUGGGUGCGUUUUCUCGAGGGCCGAGCUCCACUCUUUGCCUCCGUUAGGAACCUGGUUGGAAUGACCCGGGCACACGCACCUCCGCCCAGAAGACAAACUGCAAAGAAAUGAAUCAG
Molecule: long non-coding RNA, 750 nt
Filed under: Camelus dromedarius (Arabian camel)
Lineage: Eukaryota; Metazoa; Chordata; Mammalia; Artiodactyla; Camelidae
Description: lncRNA (ENSCDRG00005020794.1)
Source: RNAcentral